Molecule: transfer RNA, 74 nt
Filed under: Dehalococcoidia bacterium
Lineage: Bacteria; Bacillati; Chloroflexota; Dehalococcoidia
Description: tRNA-Glu
Rfam family: tRNA
About the family: Transfer RNA (tRNA) molecules are approximately 80 nucleotides in length. Their secondary structure includes four short double-helical elements and three loops (D, anti-codon, and T loops). Further hydrogen bonds mediate the characteristic L-shaped molecular structure. tRNAs have two regions of fundamental functional importance: the anti-codon, which is responsible for specific mRNA codon recognition, and the 3' end, to which the tRNAs corresponding amino acid is attached (by aminoacyl-tRNA synthetases). tRNAs cope with the degeneracy of the genetic code in two manners: having more than one tRNA (with a specific anti-codon) for a particular amino acid; and 'wobble' base-pairing, i.e. permitting non-standard base-pairing at the 3rd anti-codon position.
Source: RNAcentral
GCCCCCAUCGUCUAGAGGCCUAGGACACCGGCCUUUCAAGCCGGUAAUCGGGGGUUCGAAUCCCCCUGGGGGCA